AUUGAACGCUGGCGGCAUGCCUUACACAUGCAAGUCGAACGGCAGCACGGGAGCAAUCCUGGAGGCGAGUGGCGAACGGGUGAGUAAUACAUCGGAACGUGCCCAGGAGUGGGGGAUAACCCGGCGAAAGCCGGACUAAUACCGCAUACGACCUACGGGUGAAAGCGGGGGAUCGCAAGACCUCGCGCUAUCGGAGCGGCCGAUGUCAGAUUAGCUAGUUGGUGGGGUAAAGGCCUACCAAGGCGACGAUCUGUAGCUGGUCUGAGAGGACGACCAGCCACACUGGGACUGAGACACGGCCCAGACUCCUACGGGAGGCAGCAGUGGGGAAUUUUGGACAAUGGGCGCAAGCCUGAUCCAGCCAUGCCGCGUGCGGGAAGAAGGCCUUCGGGUUGUAAACCGCUUUUGUCAGGGAAGAAACGCUCCGGGCUAAUACCACGGAGUAAUGACGGUACCUGAAGAAUAAGCACCGGCUAACUACGUG
Molecule: ribosomal RNA, 484 nt
Filed under: uncultured bacterium
Lineage: Bacteria
Description: partial 16S ribosomal RNA
Rfam family: Bacterial small subunit ribosomal RNA
Source: RNAcentral